CUUCCCGGUGUUCCCACAUACGAAACCCUAAAACCCCCCAAUCCCAACCUUAUCUCCAUCUCCCCCCCCCUCCUCUGCUCCAAUGGCGACCAUGAGCUCCUCCUCCCUCAAGGCCCAAAUAUUCUCCUUUACGAAUCCUAGAAUGGCCCCACGCCACACCCUCGUCCCCGCCCUCCACCCUAACUCCUUUCUUCCCCCUCUCUUGUCCCGCCACCGGCCAGCCUUCCGGUCGGGGCUGGCCCGGGCGAUGGCGGCGGACAGAGAGUACUCCUCGAGGAGGAGCAGCAACAGCGAGCCGAGAGAGACGAUCCUGCUGCCUGGAUGCGACUACAACCACUGGCUUAUCGUCAUGGAGUUUCCCAAGGACCCCACCCCCACCCAGGAGCAGAUGAUCGAGACCUACCUCAACACCCUCGCCACCGUUCUCCGAAGGUAAAGGGAUUUAAGAUUUAAAAAGAUCGAAUCUUUGUGGAACAGGGAUCCUCUUUCUGAAGAUUUUUCAAGAUUUCUAAUGUCCGGCAACUUGAUACAUGGUGAGAUCAAAAGCUGGCAAAAAGAAUAGGAAAAAGCUUGAGUACAAUCAUUGUUCAGGAUUUUGGUCAUUUGUUGCAACAAUGACUAUACCAAUAAUAUGUUUUUGAGUAUGUACUGGCUAUAUUUUUAGUGAACUGCAUGUGAAACAGUCUAUGGGAUAGUUUUGGCUAUUGUAAAAUAGACAAUUUGCUGCAAGUAGAUUUUUUAUUCUAGUUUGCUACAAGUAUAUUUUUGGAAUUUUUUUAUGCAAGUAGAUUUGACAGUUAUUCUAGUUUUCUUAUUAUGUAGUGGCUAUAUGCUAAUCUAAAUUACACUUUGCAGCCAGAGUUUAAUGGUUGUGAAAACCUAGAAUUUCCAGAAUUCUAUAAGCAAACUCAUACCAAGAAGAACAAAGAGUGGAUUGAUCCUAUUUGUGCCGUGAAACAUAGUUCUUAAAGAAAAGAGCGAGAGAUGGAGCGUGAGGAGCUGCGGAGGCAAUUGAAGCAGGAGAGAAGAGAGCGUGAGGAGGAAAGAGAAGAGUGAGAGGAAGAACAGAAGCAAAUUGCACAUCUUACAAGUUUGGUGAUAGAGUUCUUAAAAGAAAAGACUCAAACGCACAAGUCAUCUAUCCAUCAUGAUGGGGCCAUGUAUUUAACUGGUGGUACAAAUACUCGUUGAUACAUGGUGGAGUUAUGAGCAUGUGAAAUCUAGUUUUUGGUACAUGGAUAGCUUUUGUUCAGAUGAUCAUGGUGGAGUUGUUUACAAGCAGAAUCAAGUUUUUGGUAUAAGAAUAUUUUUGUCUACAUGAUGGUGGUUUGGAUGAAUAGCAAGAUCAGAUAUUUUGGAAUUUUUAAUUUACAUUUUGAUGUGUUUGGUGAUGAUUAUCACCUUAACAUAUGGUAUGGAUGAAACAUUGUGAUGUAUGGUUAAUAGGUAUGCUUGACUUUAGACUUAUGAAUAAUGAUUUAUAAUGAAUGAUUAUGGAUUCUCCAA
Molecule: non-coding RNA, 1506 nt
Organism: Phoenix dactylifera (date palm)
Lineage: Eukaryota; Viridiplantae; Streptophyta; Magnoliopsida; Arecales; Arecaceae
Source: RefSeq, a predicted model, not a curated record